GGGGGAUUAGCUCAGUUGGCUAGAGCGCUUCGUUUGCACCGAAGAGGUCAUCGGUUCGAGUCCGAUAUUCUCCA
Molecule: transfer RNA, 74 nt
Filed under: Candidatus Pacearchaeota archaeon
Lineage: Archaea; Nanobdellati
Description: tRNA-Ala
Rfam family: tRNA
About the family: Transfer RNA (tRNA) molecules are approximately 80 nucleotides in length. Their secondary structure includes four short double-helical elements and three loops (D, anti-codon, and T loops).
Source: RNAcentral